This 1343-nucleotide ribosomal RNA is filed under the name uncultured bacterium. RNAcentral describes it as "bacterial SSU rRNA". It matches the Rfam family "Bacterial small subunit ribosomal RNA", at positions 44 to 1399 of the family's 1533-position model. The record is from RNAcentral.
GUGCUUAACACAUGCAAGUCGAACGAAGCGAGAGGAGCUUGCUCCUCAAGCUUAGUGGCGGACGGGUGAGUAACGUGUGGGCAACCUGCCUUUUACAGGGGAAUAAUCACUGGAAACGGUGACUAAUACCGCAUACGAUCUUCGGAAGGCAUCUUCUGGAGAGGAAAGGAGCAAUCCGGUAAAAGAUGGGCCCGCAUCUGAUUAGCUAGUUGGUGAGAUAAUAGCCCACCAAGGCAACGAUCAGUAGCCGACCUGAGAGGGUGAUCGGCCACAUUGGGACUGAGACACGGCCCAAACUCCUACGGGAGGCAGCAGUGGGGAAUAUUGCACAAUGGGGGAAACCCUGAUGCAGCAACGCCGCGUGAAGGAAGAAGGUUUUCGGAUCGUAAACUUCUAUCAAUAGGGACGAAUAAAUGACGGUACCUAAAUAAGAAGCCCCGGCUAACUACGUGCCAGCAGCCGCGGUAAUACGUAGGGGGCAAGCGUUAUCCGGAAUUACUGGGUGUAAAGGGAGCGUAGGCGGCAUGGUAAGUAAGAUGUGAAAGCCCGAGGCUUAACCUCGAGGAUUGCAUUUUAAACUAUCAAGCUAGAGUACAGGAGAGGAAAGCGGAAUUCCUAGUGUAGCGGUGAAAUGCGUAGAUAUUAGGAAGAACACCAGUGGCGAAGGCGGCUUUCUGGACUGAAACUGACGCUGAGGCUCGAAAGCGUGGGGAGCGAACAGGAUUAGAUACCCUGGUAGUCCACGCCGUAAACGAUGAGUGCUAAGGUGUCGGGGAGGAAUCCUCGGUGCCGCAGUUAACACAAUAAGCACUCCACCUGGGGAGUACGACCGCAAGGUUGAAACUCAAAGGAAUUGACGGGGGCCCGCACAAGCGGUGGAGCAUGUGGUUUAAUUCGAAGCAACGCGAAGAACCUUACCAAGGUUUGACAUCCCUCUGACGUAUAUAGAGAUAUAUAUUUUCUUCGGAACAGAGGAGACAGGUGGUGCAUGGUUGUCGUCAGCUCGUGUCGUGAGAUGUUGGGUUAAGUCCCGCAACGAGCGCAACCCUUAUCAUUAGUAGCCAGCACGUAGAGGUGGGCACUCUAAUGAGACUGCCGUGGAUAACACGGAGGAAGGUGGGGAUGACGUCAAAUCAUCAUGCCCCUUAUAUCUUGGGCUACACACGUGCUACAAUGGCCGGUACAAAGAGAAGCGAGACCACGAGGUGGAGCAAAACUCAGAAACAACGUCCCAGUUCGGACUGCAGGCUGCAACUCGCCUGCACGAAGUCGGAAUUGCUAGUAAUCGUGGAUCAGCAUGCCACGGUGAAUACGUUCCCGGGCCUUGUACACACCGCCCGUCA